Long non-coding RNA from Astatotilapia calliptera (eastern happy), 1151 nucleotides. Lineage: Eukaryota; Metazoa; Chordata; Actinopteri; Cichliformes; Cichlidae. The record is from Ensembl.
GAACACAAUAAAUUAUGUAAUGUAAACAACUACCUGAAAAACAGGUAGAACGAUACUUUUGUAUCGUUUAUUGCAUUUACGGAGGGAGUGGUGUAUGCUGGGUAAUGGCACAGCUAGCUACUGGGUGACUUUAUUCACCCGCUUAGGCCGUUAUCAGUCCAUACAAUGGACGUUAUUAGCACAAAUCAGUCCCAUAGAUAUGGGCCAUCUCCUGCUAGACUGUUCAGAAGGUUGUUAUCAUCCAUCCAGAUGGAGGAUCACUAACAGGAGCGUGGAAGACUCCAGAAUCCACUCUGGCUGGAAUCCGGUGGAUAUUUCGUCAAGACAGUGCGUUUCUUACGAUUACAUGCAUUUGAAUGGGGAAAUCGCCCGAAAAAAAGUGUAGGUUUUCAUUAUGUGAAUAACUUGAAAAUCUUAGCUCACACAGCUUUAAAACCUGUUUGCCCAGCACGGGGAUAUUGAAUUCUAUAAGAUAAAGCCAUAAAUAUGUGUGUCUGAGUCUUCUAUCAAAAGUUACAGCUAUUUAUAUGAAGUUGUACAAAAAGACUUUAUUUCAUGGGGAAAUCGCCCGAAGCUGUACAAAAACACUUUAUUUCGCCGAGACAGUGCGUUUCUGACUAUUACAUGCAUUUGAAUGCAGUUCUCGCACGAAACAAAGUAUAGGUUUUCAUUAUGUGAAUAACUCGAAAAUCUUAGCUCAAACAGCUGCAAAACCUGUUUGCCCAGCACGGGGAUAUUGAAUUCUAUAAGAUAAAGCCAUAAAUAUGUGAGUCUGAGUCUUCUAUCAAAAGUUACAGCUAUUGUCAUGGUCCACGGCCCGGCGUCCGAGGUGCGGAUGGGAUGCCCACUCCCGUGGGCGUGGCUGCUAACUCCACACCUGCAUCCCAUCCCGGGCGAUCACCAGGUGGACUAUUUAAUCCUGCCCAGCCUGCUGCUCCACGCCAGUCCGUAGUCGUCCUUCAGCGAUCACAGCUCGGCGUGUUUGAGCCACCAGCCUGUCCACCUGCCUGUCCGGAAUUUGGAUCACAAUCAGCCCCAGCCGCCUCGACCUUUCUGAAGCUUCUCCCCACGCACCCUCACCCCUCCCUCCAGAUCCCUCGGCCCCGCUAUCAUCGUAAGACGCGUACUCUACUUCCCCUCGUAUGCUGCCG